Molecule: non-coding RNA, 634 nt
Organism: Ceratotherium simum simum (southern white rhinoceros)
Lineage: Eukaryota; Metazoa; Chordata; Mammalia; Perissodactyla; Rhinocerotidae
Source: RefSeq, a predicted model, not a curated record
CUUUCUUAUAGGCUGGACUUAAAGUCGUUAACUCAAAUUCAAUACUUCUGUCAGGCUUCCUUUUUUGUAACUGAUAGAUAAAAAAAAUCCUCCUAGUAGGGAAGAUUUUGGACAGAAAAGUAAAAGGAAUAAAAAAGAUCACUAUAGAUACACUACUUAAAUACAACCACUAACUUAACAUUUUGAACUUUCAGCCUCUUUUAGGGCAUCUUUUGGUUGGUUUGGUUUUACACAGUUAAGAUCAUACUGAAUAUACAGUUUUGUAUUCUGUUUCUCAUUGAACUUUAUAACUUAAAUAUUUUUCCAUGGUAUUAAAAGCUCUUCAUAGACAUUAGUACAGUCUUCCUUGUACAGAUAAUGUCGGGACGUUUCUUGGCAACUUUAGUUCCCCAUGCUAACCUUUGGGCACGGUUCCUGUGCUCUGAAAUUGGAGUGGAGUGAAUGGAACCAACGCCCCCCAGUUUCCCCACUGUCCUCUGUUCACCUCAUCUUAUUCCUCUCUUUCAACAUUCAGCAAAUACGUCAGCUUUUGUUUUUAGCAUGUUGUAGUACUCAUUCAGUGACACACCUCUACAUAUCUAAUUUUUUUUGUUGAAUUGUUGGGUAGAGAAGAAGAAAUGCUGGUAUAGAAGGC